Molecule: non-coding RNA, 133 nt
Filed under: Coscinodiscus wailesii
Lineage: Eukaryota; Bacillariophyta; Coscinodiscophyceae; Coscinodiscales; Coscinodiscaceae
Source: RNAcentral
CAGCAAGCGGAUAUGUUCAAGAAACAAAGUAAGGAAUUAAAAAAUAAGAUGUGGUGGAAGGAUAAGAUGAUGGCCAUAUGUCUAGGCGUGUUUAUUUUCGGCGUUAUUUUAUAUCUUCUUGUUCCCCACUUUU